CAAUAGCGUAUAUUAAAGUUGUUGCAGUUAAAAAGCUCGUAGUUGGAUUUCUGGACGGAGCAGCCGGUCCGCCGCUGUGCGGUGUGUACUCGUGCUUGACUCGGUUCAUCCUUGUGGGGAAGCGCAUUUCGGCAUUCAGUUGUCGAGGCGGGGAACCACAUCAUUUACUGUGAAAAAAUUAGAGUGUUUAAAGCAGGCAUUUUGCUGUGAAUACAUUAGCAUGGAAUAAUAACAUAGGACUUUGAUUCUAUUUUGUUGGUUGGAGAUCAAGGUAAUGAUUAAUAGGGAUAGUUGGGGGUAUUCAUAUUUAAUUGUCAGAGGUGAAAUUCUUGGAUUUAUGAAAGAUGAACUCAUGCGAAAGCAUUUACCAAGGAUGUUUUCAUUAA
This 386-nucleotide ribosomal RNA is filed under the name uncultured eukaryote. RNAcentral describes it as "partial 18S ribosomal RNA". It matches the Rfam family "Eukaryotic small subunit ribosomal RNA", at positions 592 to 976 of the family's 1831-position model. The record is from RNAcentral.